Molecule: ribosomal RNA, 519 nt
Filed under: uncultured bacterium
Lineage: Bacteria
Description: partial 16S ribosomal RNA
Rfam family: Bacterial small subunit ribosomal RNA
Source: RNAcentral
GACGAACGCUGGCGGCGUGCCUAAUACAUGCAAGUCGAGCGAGUCUGCCUUGCUGAUCGGGGUGCUUGCACUCUGUGAAACGAGAUACAGGCUAGAGUAGGACGGGUGAGUAACACGUGGGUCACCUGCACAAGAGAUCGGGUUCACACCUGGAACCAGAGGCUAAUACCGGAUAACAACAGAUGAUGCCUGUCAACUGUUUAAAAGAUGGUUCUGCUAUCACUCUUGGAUGGACCUGCGGUGAAUUCGAUAGUUGGUAGGGUAACGGGCUACCAGGGCGAGGAUGCAUAGCCGAAGUGAUAGACGGAUCGGCCACAUUGGGACGGAGACACGGCCCUAACUCCUACGGGAGGCAGCAGUAGGGUAUCUGCCACAAUGGACGCAAGUCUGAUGGAGCAACGCCGCGUGAGUGAAGAAGGGGUUCGGCUCGGAAAGCUCUGUUGUUGGUGAAGAAGGACAGGGGUAGUAGCUGACCUGUGUUUGACGGUAAUCAAUUAGAAAGUCACGGCUAACUAAGUG